This 402-nucleotide ribosomal RNA is filed under the name Bradyrhizobiaceae bacterium Ellin7113. RNAcentral's name for it is "bacterial SSU rRNA". It matches the Rfam family "Bacterial small subunit ribosomal RNA", at positions 29 to 456 of the family's 1533-position model. The record is from RNAcentral. Lineage: Bacteria; Pseudomonadati; Pseudomonadota; Alphaproteobacteria; Hyphomicrobiales; Nitrobacteraceae.
AGCGAACGCUGGCGGCAGGCUUAACACAUGCAAGUCGAGCGGGCGUAGCAAUACGUCAGCGGCAGACGGGUGAGUAACGCGUGGGAACGUACCUUUUGGUUCGGAACAACACAGGGAAACUUGUGCUAAUACCGGAUAAGCCCUUACGGGGAAAGAUUUAUCGCCGAAAGAUCGGCCCGCGUCUGAUUAGCUAGUUGGUAGGGUAAUGGCCUACCAAGGCGACGAUCAGUAGCUGGUCUGAGAGGAUGAUCAGCCACAUUGGGACUGAGACACGGCCCAAACUCCUACGGGAGGCAGCAGUGGGGAAUAUUGGACAAUGGGGGCAACCCUGAUCCAGCCAUGCCGCGUGAGUGAUGAAGGCCCUAGGGUUGUAAAGCUCUUUUGUGCGGGAAGAUAAUGACG